Molecule: ribosomal RNA, 495 nt
Filed under: uncultured bacterium
Lineage: Bacteria
Description: partial 16S ribosomal RNA
Rfam family: Bacterial small subunit ribosomal RNA
Source: RNAcentral
GACGAACGCUGGCGGCGUGCCUAAUACAUGCAAGUAGAACGCUGAAGGAGGAGCUUGCUUCUCUGGAUGAGUUGCGAACGGGUGAGUAACGCGUAGGUAACCUGCCUGGUAGCGGGGGAUAACUAUUGGAAACGAUAGCUAAUACCGCAUAAGAGUAGAUGUUGCAUGACAUUUGCUUAAAAGGUGCAAUUGCAUCACUACCAGAUGGACCUGCGUUGUAUUAGCUAGUUGGUGGGGUAACGGCUCACCAAGGCGACGAUACAUAGCCGACCUGAGAGGGUGAUCGGCCACACUGGGACUGAGACACGGCCCAAACUCCUACGGGAGGCAGCAGUAGGGAAUCUUCGGCAAUGGACGGAAGUCUGACCGAGCAACGCCGCGUGAGUGAAGAAGGUUUUCGGAUCGUAAAGCUCUGUUGUAAGAGAAGAACGAGUGUGAGAGUGGAAAGUUCACACUGUGACGGUAUCUUACCAGAAAGGGACGGCUAACUACGUG